UUAAAGGAAGUUCGACGGGGGCCCGCACAGGCGGCGGAGCAUGUGGAUUAAUUCGAUGCAACGCGAAGAACCUUACCUGGGUUUGACAUACACCGGAAAACCGUAGAGAUACGGUCCCCCUUGUGGUCGGUGUACAGGUGGUGCAUGGCUGUCGUCAGCUCGUGUCGUGAGAUGUUGGGUUAAGUCCCGCAACGAGCGCAACCUUGUCUUAUGUUGCCAGCACGUGAUGGUGGGGACUCGUAAGAGACUGCCGGGGUCAACUCGGAGGAAGGUGGGGACGACGGUCAAGUCAUCAUGCCCCUUAUGUCCAGGGCUUCACACAUGCUACAAUGGCCAGUACAGAGGGCUGCGAGACCGUGAGGUGGAGCGAAUCCCUUAAAGCUGGCCUCAGUUCGGAUCGGGGUCUGCAACUCGACCCCGUGAAGUCGGAGUCGCUAGUAAUCGCAGAUCAGCAACGCUGCGGUGAAUACGUUCCCGGCCUU
This 482-nucleotide ribosomal RNA is filed under the name uncultured Rhodococcus sp. Its description in RNAcentral is "bacterial SSU rRNA". It matches the Rfam family "Bacterial small subunit ribosomal RNA", at positions 901 to 1382 of the family's 1533-position model. The record is from RNAcentral. Lineage: Bacteria; Bacillati; Actinomycetota; Actinomycetes; Mycobacteriales; Nocardiaceae.